GGGGAAUAUUGGACAAUGGGCGCAAGCCUGAUCCAGCCAUGCCGCGUGAGUGAUGAAGGCCCUAGGGUUGUAAAGCUCUUUCACCGGUGAAGAUAAUGACGGUAACCGGAGAAGAAGCCCCGGCUAACUUCGUGCCAGCAGCCGCGGUAAUACGAAGGGGGCUAGCGUUGUUCGGAAUUACUGGGCGUAAAGCGCACGUAGGCGGAUAUUUAAGUUAGGGGUGAAAUCCCAGGGCUCAACCCUGGAACUGCCUCUAAUACUGGGUAUCUCGAGUGCGAGAGAGGUGAGUGGAAUUCCGAGUGUAGAGGUGAAAUUCGUAGAUAUUCGGAGGAACACCAGUGGCGAAGGCGGCUCACUGGCUCGGUACUGACGCUGAGGUGCGAAAGCGUGGGGAGCAAAC
RNAcentral lists this ribosomal RNA (400 nucleotides) under uncultured bacterium. Its description in RNAcentral is "bacterial SSU rRNA". It matches the Rfam family "Bacterial small subunit ribosomal RNA", at positions 356 to 773 of the family's 1533-position model. The record is from RNAcentral.